Mesocricetus auratus (golden hamster) is the source of this 1569-nucleotide RNA transcript. It is a transcript of the gene named pyrroline-5-carboxylate reductase 1, with no coding region annotated. The record is from RefSeq and is a predicted model, not a curated record. The transcript has 9 exons. Lineage: Eukaryota; Metazoa; Chordata; Mammalia; Rodentia; Cricetidae.
CCUGUGGAUGAUGCAAUGCACAAGGCUCCGGUUGCAGCUCUGGAUUGGCUAGUUCCCAGAGGCCGCACCGCGCACUGGCUGAAGUGGAGUGGGGGCGGGGCCGGUGGGCGUGGGUGCCGCGUGGCAGAUGCAGAGGGCCGGACCGUCGCGCGUGUAGCUGCUGCAUACAGUUUGCAGCUGCCCUGCAAAGCCGGCGCUAUCUGUGAAGGCUGUGGGUCCUGGAUCUCCGGACAUGAGCGUGGGUUUCAUCGGGGCCGGGCAGCUGGCUUUUGCCCUAGCCAAGGGCUUCACAGCAGCAGGUGUUCUGUCUGCUCACAAGAUAAUGGCCAGCUCCCCAGACAUGGACCAAGCCACGGUCUCUGCCCUCCGGGCUCUCCCUCAGCUUUGAGGGCAGACAGCCCACGAGGCAAGCUGAGUCCCCUUGCGCUCCUGCAGAGGAUAGGGGUGAACCUGACACCCCACAACAAAGAGACAGUGCGCCACAGUGACGUGCUCUUCCUGGCCGUGAAGCCGCACAUUAUCCCCUUCAUCCUGGAUGAAAUCGGUGCUAACAUUGAGGACAGGCACAUUGUGGUGUCCUGUGCGGCAGGUGUCACCAUCAACUCCAUUGAAAAGAAGCUGACGGCGUUCCAGCCAGCUCCCAAAGUCAUCCGCUGUAUGACCAACACCCCAGUGGUAGUGCGGGAGGGUGUCACUGUGUACGCCACAGGCACUCACGCUCAGGUGGAGGAUGGCAGGCUCGUGGAGCAGCUCAUGGGCAGCGUGGGCUUCUGCACAGAGGUGGAGGAGGAUCUGAUCGAUGCUGUCACGGGGCUCAGUGGCAGCGGCCCUGCCUAUGCUUUCACUGCCCUGGAUGCUCUCGCUGAUGGUGGUGUGAAAAUGGGGCUUCCGAGGCGCCUGGCUGUCCGCCUGGGGGCCCAGGCCCUCCUGGGGGCAGCUAAGAUGCUACUAGACUCAGAACAGCAUCCAGGCCAGCUCAAGGACAAUGUCUGCUCUCCUGGUGGGGCCACCAUCCAUGCCUUGCAUGUGCUGGAGAGUGGGGGCUUUCGCUCCCUGCUUAUCAAUGCUGUGGAGGCCUCCUGCAUCCGUACACGGGAGCUACAGUCCAUGGCUGACCAGGAAACUGUCUCCCCUGCUGCCAUCAAAAAGACUGUACUGGACAAGGUGAAACUGGAGUCCUCUGCUGCGGCCUCUCUGUCUUCUUCUGGCCAUAUUAAGUCACUGCCCGAGUGACUCAUCUGCCCACAUUCCUCCUGCUCUCUGCCUUCUCUUCUUUUCUUUCUCUUCCUUUCCCUUUUCCCCCCUUUUUGUUCUUUUUGUUUCUUUCUUUCUUUCUUGAGACAAGGUUUCUCUGUGUAGCCCUGGAUUAGUACUCACUCUGUAGACCAGGCUGGCCUUGAACUAACAGUUUUUGGGACUUCAACCUCUACCAAGGAUCCCACCAGGCAUUUGGGGAAAAGGGGCUUCUCAGGUAGCUAAUGAAACUUUAGCUCGUUCCUGAACUAACUCACCAAAUACUGUUACUUCUCUUCCUAUCCUUUCAGUUGAAUAAAAACAUUUUCUCAAACA